AACAAACGCUGGCGGCGUGCCUAACACAUGCAAGUCGUACGAGAAAGUCGGCUUCGGCCGAUGAGUACAGUGGCGCACGGGUGAGUAGCGCGUGGGUAAUCUGCCCCCCGGUCAGGAAUAACCCGCCGAAAGGCGGGCUAAUACCCGAUAACACUGACGCUCCGCGGAGCGUCUUUCAAAGAAGGCCUCUGUUUACAAGCUUUCGCCGGAGGAUGAGCCCGCGUACCAUUAGCUAGUUGGCAGGGUAAUGGCCUACCAAGGCUACGAUGGUUAGCUGGUCUGAGAGGAUGGCCAGCCACACUGGAACUGAGACACGGUCCAGACUCCUACGGGAGGCAGCAGUGAGGAAUCUUGCGCAAUGGGGGAAACCCUGACGCAGCAACGCCGCGUGAGCGAAGAAGGCCUUCGGGUUGUAAAGCUCUGUUGUAAGGGACGAAUGUCGCGAUCAAUAAUACGGAUUGCGAAUGACGGUACCUUACCAGCAAGCCCCGGCUAACUACGUG
RNAcentral lists this ribosomal RNA (503 nucleotides) under uncultured bacterium. RNAcentral describes it as "bacterial SSU rRNA". It matches the Rfam family "Bacterial small subunit ribosomal RNA", at positions 29 to 507 of the family's 1533-position model. The record is from RNAcentral.